Molecule: ribosomal RNA, 628 nt
Filed under: Bacillus subtilis
Lineage: Bacteria; Bacillati; Bacillota; Bacilli; Caryophanales; Bacillaceae
Description: bacterial SSU rRNA
Rfam family: Bacterial small subunit ribosomal RNA
Source: RNAcentral
GAGCGGACAGAUGGGAGCUUGCUCCCUGAUGUUAGCGGCGGACGGGUGAGUAACACGUGGGUAACCUGCCUGUAAGACUGGGAUAACUCCGGGAAACCGGGGCUAAUACCGGAUGGUUGUUUGAACCGCAUGGUUCAAACAUAAAAGGUGGCUUCGGCUACCACUUACAGAUGGACCCGCGGCGCAUUAGCUAGUUGGUGAGGUAACGGCUCACCAAGGCAACGAUGCGUAGCCGACCUGAGAGGGUGAUCGGCCACACUGGGACUGAGACACGGCCCAGACUCCUACGGGAGGCAGCAGUAGGGAAUCUUCCGCAAUGGACGAAAGUCUGACGGAGCAACGCCGCGUGAGUGAUGAAGGUUUUCGGAUCGUAAAGCUCUGUUGUUAGGGAAGAACAAGUACCGUUCGAAUAGGGCGGUACCUUGACGGUACCUAACCAGAAAGCCACGGCUAACUACGUGCCAGCAGCCGCGGUAAUACGUAGGUGGCAAGCGUUGUCCGGAAUUAUUGGGCGUAAAGGGCUCGCAGGCGGUUUCUUAAGUCUGAUGUGAAAGCCCCCGGCUCAACCGGGGAGGGUCAUUGGAAACUGGGGAACUUGAGUGCAGAAGAGGAGAGUGGAAUUCCACGU